This 113-nucleotide ribosomal RNA is filed under the name Parasulfuritortus cantonensis. Lineage: Bacteria; Pseudomonadati; Pseudomonadota; Betaproteobacteria; Nitrosomonadales; Thiobacillaceae. The record is from RNAcentral.
UCUGGCGAACAUAGCGGAGUGGUACCACCCCUUCCCUUCCCGAACAGGACCGUGAAACGCUCCAGCGCCGAUGAUAGUGCCUCUACAGGUGUGAAAGUAGGUCAUCGCCAGAC